UGUGCUGCCGAAGUGAGUACACUACUUCAUACAGCAAGCUGAAGGUAAGUCCAUCUGUCCUGGCACAGUUCUAUGGGGAAGCACAGGACAUGGCUAGAUCACAAAUGGCCAAGAUAACAGGAUUCUUUUUUCUUAACUGUAAACGGUUUUCAUGGCCAUUUCUAUGUGCCUCACCUUUGUGCAGCACCAGUUUAUGUCUUAACACCAAAACCUUAAAACUUCCCGAAUCUUACCAUAAAACUGUCUGGUUGAGCCUUGAGAAUAAAAUGAGCUCCAGGCCAA
This is a long non-coding RNA of Pipistrellus kuhlii (Kuhl's pipistrelle), 282 nucleotides long. RefSeq lists it as uncharacterized. The transcript is spliced from 2 exons. NCBI's taxonomy places the organism in Eukaryota, Metazoa, Chordata, Mammalia, Chiroptera, Vespertilionidae. The record is from RefSeq and is a predicted model, not a curated record.